This 88-nucleotide ribosomal RNA is filed under the name Gastrolobium melanopetalum. Lineage: Eukaryota; Viridiplantae; Streptophyta; Magnoliopsida; Fabales; Fabaceae. The record is from RNAcentral.
GGAUCCCAUCAGAACUCCGUAGUUAAGCGUGCUUGGGCGAGAGUAGUACUAGGGUGGGUGACCUCCUGGGAAGUCCUCGUGUUGCAUC